RNAcentral lists this ribosomal RNA (253 nucleotides) under uncultured bacterium. Its description in RNAcentral is "partial 16S ribosomal RNA". It matches the Rfam family "Bacterial small subunit ribosomal RNA", at positions 524 to 776 of the family's 1533-position model. The record is from RNAcentral.
UACGUAGGGACCGAGCGUUGUCCGGAAUCAUUGGGCGUAAAGAGCGUGUAGGCGGCCACUUAAGUCCUGCGUGAAAUCUUGCGGCUCAACCGCAAGCGGUCGUGGGAAACUGGGUGGCUAGAGUGCGGGAGAGGAGAGUGGAAUUCCUGGUGUAGCGGUGGAAUGCGCAGAUAUCUGGAGGAACACCGGUGGCGAAGGCGGCAUCCUGGACCGGCAUUGACGCUGAGGCGCGAAAGCCAGGGGAGCAAACGGG